This 107-nucleotide non-coding RNA is filed under the name Lachnospiraceae bacterium TWA4. Its description in RNAcentral is "TPP riboswitch aptamer (THI element)". It matches the Rfam family "TPP riboswitch aptamer (THI element)". Rfam says of the family: Vitamin B(1) in its active form thiamin pyrophosphate (TPP) is an essential coenzyme that is synthesised by coupling of pyrimidine and thiazole moieties in bacteria. Lineage: Bacteria; Bacillati; Bacillota; Clostridia; Lachnospirales; Lachnospiraceae. The record is from Rfam by way of RNAcentral. RNAcentral also lists the same sequence under 1 other name.
AUUGAUAACAAGGGGAGCUUAUGGUGAUAGGCUGAGAGGAAGUUUAAAACUUCGACCCAUAACCUGAUUUGGAUAAUGCCAACGUAGGAACGCCGUUAUACAAAAUU